Lagopus leucura (white-tailed ptarmigan) is the source of this 555-nucleotide long non-coding RNA. RefSeq lists it as uncharacterized. The record is from RefSeq and is a predicted model, not a curated record. The transcript has 3 exons. Lineage: Eukaryota; Metazoa; Chordata; Aves; Galliformes; Phasianidae.
GUAAACAAUCUUUCCAGUGGCAUACUGGACAACUGACAGCAGCAGCACAGUUGGACAUGAAAGUUUUUGAAGAUUAUAUGCCCACGUCUGUUUGAAAAUGUCCUUCGGGUUGUGCUCUCCCAUAAACUGAAUCAGCAUAUAAAUCUGCAUGCUGUGCAAUGGAUGUAUGUAAUGGAGGAACUGGGAUUGAAUCCAGGAUAAUGGUGGUUACGCCUGGAGGUCAUUGUGGUGUUUGGGCUGGAUUGCAUGAAAGGCAAUGAAGGGCAAUGAAAUGCAAGCAGUCUAUGGAAGGACAAUGUAAACAUUUGAGAGAAGACAGAGGCGAAGAAGGCUGCCAAUAAAUUUAAGCCUGGUUCCUGUGAUUAAUGUCCAUAAUUCCCUGACUGUGAUUAGUGAAAGCUUAUUUUCUAUCCGCGUGCUGAGCUCCUUGCUUUUUAUGAGAUGGUGAUCUUUAGACACCAGGUUGGUUGAGUGGAAAUGUUUUUCUAUUAUUUCUUUUGAAGAAUGAACGUGCUGACAGUAGUAGCAUAAUAAUAUCUUAGUCUUUUAAAUUUG